Molecule: ribosomal RNA, 224 nt
Filed under: uncultured bacterium
Lineage: Bacteria
Description: partial 16S ribosomal RNA
Rfam family: Bacterial small subunit ribosomal RNA
Source: RNAcentral
ACGCUCGACACCUACGGGAGGCAGCAGUUAGGAAUAUUCGUCAAUGGAGGAAACUCUGAACGAGCAAUGCCGCGUGAGCGAUGAAGGCCCUAUGGGUCGUAAAGCUCUGUUGUAAAGGAAGAAUACUUGAUAUAGGAAAUGAUAUCAAGCUGACGGUACUUUACCAGAAAGCCCCGGCUAACUACGUGCAAGCAGCCGCGGUAAUCUGAGCGGGCUGGCAAGGC